GACGAACGCUGGCGGCGUGCUUAAUACAUGCAAGUCGAGCGGAGCGGCGAACGGGUGAGUAACGCGUGAGUAACUGCCCCCCUCUCUGGGAUCACAGUUGGAAACGGCUGCUAAUACCGGAUAGUGGGGGAUGACUCGCGUCCUAUCAGCGUGUUGGUGGGGUAGUGGCAUACCAAGGCGACGGCGGGUAGCCGGCCUGGGAGGGCGACCAGCCACAUUGGGCUGAGAUACGGCCCAAACUCGUACGGGAGGCAGCAGUGUGGAGUAUUGCACAAUGGGGGAAACCCUGAUACAGCGACGCCGCGUGCGGGAUGACGGCCUUCGGGUUGUAAACCACUUUCAGCGAUGACGCGGUAGUGGCAGAAGAAGCACCGGCUAACUACGUGCCAGCAGCCGCGGUAAUAC
This 405-nucleotide ribosomal RNA is filed under the name uncultured bacterium. RNAcentral describes it as "partial 16S ribosomal RNA". It matches the Rfam family "Bacterial small subunit ribosomal RNA", at positions 28 to 526 of the family's 1533-position model. The record is from RNAcentral.